RNAcentral lists this small nuclear RNA (113 nucleotides) under Mus pahari (shrew mouse). Its description in RNAcentral is "snRNA (MGP_PahariEiJ_G0033186.1)". The record is from RNAcentral. Lineage: Eukaryota; Metazoa; Chordata; Mammalia; Rodentia; Muridae.
AGACUUACCUGGCAGGGGAAAUACCAUGAUCAUGAAGGCAGUUUUCCCAGGGCCCCUCUGUUCCACUCCCAAUCUGCCAACCCAAAAGAGGGAAACUCAACUACAUAUUGAGU